RNAcentral lists this transfer RNA (79 nucleotides) under Bacteroidota bacterium. Its description in RNAcentral is "Bacteroidetes bacterium (activated sludge metagenome) tRNA-Val". Lineage: Bacteria; Pseudomonadati; Bacteroidota. The record is from RNAcentral.
GGGUUGUUAGCUCAGUUGGUUUAGAGCAUUACCUUGACAGGGGUAGGGGUCACUGGGGUUCUGACUCCAGUGCAACUCA